Melopsittacus undulatus (budgerigar) is the source of this 446-nucleotide long non-coding RNA. RefSeq lists it as uncharacterized. The transcript has 3 exons. The record is from RefSeq and is a predicted model, not a curated record. NCBI's taxonomy places the organism in Eukaryota, Metazoa, Chordata, Aves, Psittaciformes, Psittaculidae.
AAAAGAAAAAACAACUCCUCUGUAUAUUUCACCACAACAAAAAGCACCAUGAAGUACAUUUGAAGGAGCUGGAGAACAGCCUGCAGAAGUCCGAGAACAAGAGCCAGAGCAUGCAGAAUUAUGUGCAGUUCCUGAGAGCUUCCUACACCCUCACGUUUGGCUCAAUUCUGGAUUGGAUUAUAAAGAAACUUCCCAAGGUUUGGCUCUCGGCCUUGCUGUGGGCAGGGCAGACUGCAGGACAGCAGCGAUAGGCGCAGCUCUUGGAUGACUCCAGUUCCAUCGUGGCUGCAGCUCGUGUCCAUCUCCAGCCCCAGGUAGUUACAGCUUGUGCUUGCUGAACUGAGCCUGGCUUGUGGCCAGUCCUAAACCAGUCCCUGUCACGAUGCAGAUGAACAGGAGCUGUCAGAACUGCUCAUGUCCAGCCCUGAGGUAACAAAGAGUAAACA